Molecule: ribosomal RNA, 320 nt
Filed under: uncultured eukaryote
Lineage: Eukaryota
Description: partial 18S ribosomal RNA
Rfam family: Eukaryotic small subunit ribosomal RNA
Source: RNAcentral
CCCCUAGAUGUUCUGGGCCGCACGCGCGCUACACUGAACAGUUCAACAAGUCUUAACCUUGGCCGAUAGGUCUGGGUAAUCUUUGAACGCUGUUCGUGAUUGGGAUAGACCUUUGCAAUUAUGGGUCUUCAACGAGGAAUUCCUGGUAAACGCAAGUCAUCAGCUUGCAUUGAUUACGUCCCUGCCCUUUGUACACACCGCCCGUCGCACCUACCGAUUGAAUGGUCCGGUGAAAUCUCGGGACGGCGGCUUGGUCGCUUGCGUCCGACUGCUGAAACUUGAUUAAACCAUAUCAUUUAGAGGAAGGUGAAGUCGUANCA